UCAAGCAAAUUUUACAUGAAGAUUUUUACAAUUUUUCUCCUAUAAGAAACAGAUACCACGAAAAAACAGAUAUACCACGAUUCAUCGGUCAGAAUGAAAAAUUAAAUUAUUAAACAUUUAAAAAUUUCAAGGAAAAUUUCAAAAUUAAUUUUUGAAUGCGUUUUCUUAUAUAAUAAAAAAAAAAAAAGAAGAGAAGAAAACGACUUACAAUAGUUUUAAAGAGGAAAUCUGCUAUUCCUGUGAUCGAAAGAUUCUUCUGAUUCCCCGAGGACUGGUGAGAAAUCCGACUAAUUCUCGAAUCCGCGACAACACGGAAGAAAACAGAAUGGGGUGAGAAAGAGCUGACCCAUUUGGCGGUAGAAUAGCCGAAGGGGGUUGGAAAAGAGGCAGCGAGUAGAAAAAAAGGCAAACCCGUGUGUACGGAACACGCGGGUAUCUUUUGUCGCCGAUCCUGGCCACCGGCGUCCCGGCAUAAUUAAAAUUCUACAGACUCGCUCCGGAAGUUUGGACCAUCUCCAAAAUCCUCGAACCAAGUUACUCUUGGAUCGAUCCAAAGGCGAAUCUUCUGCCUGUGACAUAGCUGCUGUUGAACGAAGAGAGCUGCGAUCGACCAUGGGAAAGUUAAGUGUACCAAAGAAAAUCAAGGAGAAAUUGUUUGGCUAAGUUUACACGUAGAAUGAGAAUGAUCGAUCGAACGACGUGAUAUUGACGGCCUUGGGUUUUUUGAAUGAUGGUUCAUGAUAUUUUGUGAUGGAAAAUUUGAUAGUUACAACAAUGGUACUUGGUAGUUUGCAAUAUUUUUUAUUUUCUUCCAGUUUUAGACGGUUUGUUUGAGUUAAUUUAAUUAGAGGUUAAGUUAAGAUUAAUUAUAGAAAGAGUAAUAGAAUUAUAGAUGCAAUUGCAAUUGUUUGGAUUUAAUGUUUUUAUUGAGAUAAUUCAAUCACGAUGGGCAAACUUUUUCAAUUACACGUCUCUGUUGGAUCGCAUUAAGACAAUGAUCAUAUUGCUGUAUGAGAAAUUGGAUAUUCCGUUGAAAAUUGAGAAAUACUUUCGAAUAUAUCGUGACACGAUAUUAAGAGAAAGGUAGAAUUUAUCGAACGGAUAGGAGACCAAAUGUUGAGCCAGUAAUUGGUUAAAUAUUUUAUUUGAGGAAUCUUGGGAGAGAGGAUUCCCAGAAAUUGGCCGCUUCGAGCAAAUAUUGAAAUAGGCUUCGUAAAUGGUUCUGCUCGUUUAAAAGGAAAUGUGGUGAUGCAACACGUACAACUUUCCAUCUGAUCCCAGGUGUCGCAGAGAAAAAAAUCAGAAGAAAGAAAAAUUAUAAAGAUAGAAGAAUUAUAAAUAUAGAAUUUAAGAAUCUUUCGAAAGGAAAAUAACAAAUUAAUUUUAAAGAAAUUAAAGAGUUAAACUUCUCCAUUUGUCUAGUCGUGUUCAUAAAAAUUUCAAUUUACAUUAGCAUCAGUAUUCUAUAGCUAAUAUUUUUAUAUUUCUAACAUUUUCUUCUUUUUUUUUUUUCUGUUCAAGAUACUCGUGCUGGCUUGUCCCUGGAAAAACGCGACGAAAGGGAUUGUCGUAGCUGCUGAUCACACAGUUUCUCGGUUACAUUGGCGUAACCGGUUCUCCAAGACUCCUCGUCGAGUCUCUUUGUAUCGGGCGAGGCCUGGAUUCGUGCCGUUCAAGCGAUUUUUAUUAAACGACGCGGUUGAGAGAGUACAUUGUUUGUCGCGAAUUGCACCUCUUGUGGUGAGAGCUAACCCCUGCCAGCAAGUACGAUCCCCCUUCUUCCCUUGUAAUUGCUGACUGGUAAAUUGCUUCGAAGAAAAAUUACACAUAAUCGUGAUGGAAUACUAUUUGAUCAUUCAUUUAAAUUUAAAAUAUUUCUAGAAUUUUCUCUAUAUUCGAAUCAAAAAUUCCAGAAUCGUUGAGAAUACUCUUCAAUUUAACGAUAGAAAUAUUCUAAAACUCACUUUUAAAAGUCUCAAACGCAAAAUUUUCUUCAAAUUAUAUUUAUAGCACAGAUAGAAGCUUUUUUAGAACCCCGAUCACUUUUCACUUUUAUCAAACGGAGAGCCAGACAUCUUUGCCACCCACAAUCUGUUCCUUCCCACUCAGCCCUCAUAAUUCCCCGCCAAAUACAUUCUAAAAUCGCUCGUUCAGCAUCCAUAUCCCCUUUUCGCAAUCUCUUUCUCAGUAUUCCGCCCGUGGAGAGCGCGAUUGCCCAAUUUCCCUCAAUUUUCCCAAAGCAAGUUCGAAAUCAGCCCAGCCAGGGAAGCGCGCACGAGCCCGCCAAGCUUUUAUAUUUGCUUAACAUUAGAUUACGCUCCUCGAGGGUAUGUAGGUCGUCUCGUUUGUUCCCAGUUUCAGGAAUUUACGAUUAAGUCCCGCAGAAUUGAAUUUUCGAGGGUUGGAAUAACUGCGUGCCGCUAUUCUGCGAGAAUUUCGAGUUGAACGCGAUCCCUGUUCCGUGAUUGGUCGGUGAUUUAUUCAGUUGUUUCCGUUUGUGUAGUUGGUAACAGUAUUUUUGAUGUUCUUAUAUUUGUUGUAUAAUAUUUUGUGCAAUAAAUUACACAUCUGGGUCUAUGAAUUUUGAUAAGAUAUUUUUUUCAUACGAUAUAUAUUUUUUCAUAUGUGUGUUUUGUGGCUUCGUGAUUUUUUAAUACGUUUUUUUUUUAAACAUUAAUUUUACUCUUUAUACGUUCAUAUAAAUGUUUUUAUGCAAAUGUUUUAAAUUACUACUUGUUUUAUAUAUGGUGUUUUCUUUAAAGAGACCCAGAUGUAUAAUUAGUUUUAUAUAAAAUGAUUCUUGGCAAUUUUUUUCUGUUCCCAGAAAACAAAAAGAAUAAUUGCCUUUCCUUGAUAAAUUUAAAUUUGCUCGAACAAAAUAUCGUAAUUAUAUUUUGAAAAAAUUCUACCUAAUCAAUAACGAAAUUAUUGACGAGAUUGAUCAAGAAUCAUUUUUGUUUUCGAACGUUUCAAUUAAUAAUAUUAAUAUUAUACAUUUUCAGAUCUCUUUCAACGUUAAUUACGAUAAUCAAAUGAUCAAACAACUACGUGAUACGUCAAAUACUACAUUCUUCAAAUUCAAUAUAAGUGUGGAAUCGAACCGAAAGUUCUCUUAUUAUAAUAUCGAAAAACCCAUGAAUGGAAAGUAAGACUUAAUCGUGCAGCUUUUCGCCUCCGAACCGAGUUCUCGAGCAGCUGACGCGAUAAUUUAUCGGGCCGUUUAACUUUCGAGUUUCGUUCGCGUGAAACACGAAAGAGUGGGAGAGAGAGUAAAAAAACUCGAUACAGGAAACCAGUUUCGAACAGACCAUGAUUUCAAUAGGUUCCACGACUCUCUAAACACCGAUUCCUUCUCGAUUUACUUACUCCAACCCAGAUCGAAUUUUACCUCGCAUUCUCACUCUCGAGUCUGCAACACCUCUGAAAUUCAUUCUGCGUGAUAGAAAGGAUAGAAAGAAAGAAGAAAAAAAUAAGGAAAUAAAGAGCGGAGAGAUAGGAUGGAAGAGAAGAAACGAAAGAGAGAAAGAAAGAGAGAGACUUCUUACACACAGGCGGAGAAAACGUGGCGCGUAAAUAGAGCGAAUAAAGGAGGUCGAGUUGAAAUGGGGUUGAAAAUUUGUAAAGAAGGGGAAAAGGUUUUUUUUUUAACGAGUUAAUGAAGGGAAGCCAGGGCAAGAAGGUUGAAAGUUAAUUAAGAACAACUUGGAAGGAAUGAUUAUUUUUCUUUUCUUUUCUUCCUUUUUUUUUUCUUUGAUGAUCGUGCUUCGUUCGUUGUACAAUGAAAAUUUGUUUCAUUUCAUUAAGAUUUUGUGUUUUUGUAAAUGUAAAGGUUUUUGUGAAUGUGAAUUAUUUGAAGAUACAUGUGGACCAUUUUAAGUAUGAUCAUUUUUUUGAUUAGAUUCAUAAUUUUAAUAAUAAAAAUAUGUACCAGAAGUACAAUUGGAUGAAUUAAAAGAGAUUUAUUUUUCUAUACAAUGAUAUGAAAUGUUUCAAUUAAAAUAUUCAAAAUAUGGAUACAGGAAUAUAGAAGGAUUGAAUUUGUUGCGAUUGAGCGUAGUUUCAAUGAAAGGGAGGCUUAUAACGAACGAUCGAUUCCGAAUUCAUUAAAUUAUUUCUUCGUUACGUAUUUAUUAACCAUCGUGCCCAUUUUCAGCGAUGAAUUACGAUAGUUGGUAUACAUGUUGCAUCGAUUAUAGGGAAAUUUUGAAUUGGAUGGAGAGCAACGUCGAUAUUGACGACACUGAUUGCCGCGUUUUAUUUUCUAUAAACAUCCAUCCAACCUACAAUUCUUUCAUAUAUUUUUUUUAAUUUUUCAAGAACAAAUAAAUGAUAUUGAUAAAAUAUUCGAUGUGAAAAAAAGAAAUAAAGAAGAGAUAUAAAAAUAAAAAACAAUGAUAUAUAUCGUUAAUCUCUUCAAAGAUUUUUAAGUAACGGUAUAAAUAAUAGUGUGAUCGAUGUGCAAAAGAUUCGAAGAUGGAAAGAAGAUAAAAGUGAUUCCGUAAACCAUAAAAACGUUUUAAAAAAAAUGAAAAAUCGUGAGACCAUUCCGAGGAUCUUCAAUUUUCCGAAGGAUAUCGAGCGAAAGGACGAUUUAACCAAUUCUAGAAAUAUUAUUUGUUGAGACUAUGGGAAUCAUUAGCGAGCAAUUUAUCGUGUCGUCGUAGGGAAAUCGAGCGUCCAAACACGGGGAAUCGAUAUUCCAUUACGGAGGAUCGGUGGUUCGCCAGAGAGAGGCACGAUAAGAGGGCAACUAUGGCGAACGGGGAUACCGCUUUCAAGGUGGAAGAUAGAAACGUCUGGGAAAUGAAACUUGGUUACUGAAAAGCAUGGAAUUUGAAAUCUAUCAGGAUGGGAUCACAAAAUGGUUUACAAAUCCAUAAAAAUAUUAAUUAAUUAGUCGAACACAAUAUGGGAACUACGUCUCACGAUUUCAUCCUUUCCAUCUCUCUUGCCAAAGCCAAAGAAUCGUCUCGUCCAAGAACAGCAGAACGCAUCAUUAUCACGCUGAGUGGAAGGACGAAAGGCGCACGCGUGGUGAUCGGCGCGCCUAUGUGCACGAGUACACAAAUAGCUCAUUAUGAACGAAGCCCAUACUUGGACCCGUCGCGCGCACUACGUAAUUGGGGUUAAUGAUCGUGUGUACACCAGUGCCUCUCCUACUUGUACGCGAACCACCACUCGACAACUUGGCCCGGACCAGGCAUUCCACUCUCUGGCCAUUAGCAAGUGUAAUGCCGGCCGUGGUAACACCUCGUUUCUUUGCCCAUCUCCCUCAUACUUCUACAUUUUCUUUAGCCUCAUCUUGACCGUUCAGGUUCUGCUCCAGGGAAUUUUCUUUUUUACCUUCCUUUUCUUUUUUCCUUUCUUGUGAAAGUGGAGAAAAUGGAAAUAGCUUUUGACAUUUUAAUGAGGGGUUGAGGGAUGGAUGAUUUGGAGAAAGAGAUAUCGAAACACUUUACGAUUAGAAAUGUGGUAGUAGCCGGUUAAUUGUCGUAAUUUUCUUUUCUCCUUUCUUGUGAAAGUGAAGAAAUGGAAAUGGAUAGCUUUUGAUGGCUUAAUAAGGAGUGGAUUUGGAGAAAGAAGCAUUGAGCGAAUUUUACGAUUAGAAUUACGAUAGUACCCGAUUAAUUAUCGUGAAACGUAUUAAUUAUCUGAGGAAGCAUAUGCAUGCCAAAUUUUUGAGUAUAAUGCGAAUAAUCGAAUUAUGAUAAUUCAAAUCUGAAGAGAAAGAUACAAUAAUCCAGAUAAUCGUUGCAUACAGAUUAAAUUUUUAUGUGUAACAAAUUUCUGAAAAUAGUUUUAAGAUAAAUAAAGUGGAUAAGUACCUGAAUAAUAACUAUUCUAGAAUAUAAUAGUGAUUCAAAAUCUUUGACAGAUACUGUACUCUACGUUUAGUAAAAUAUAUAUAUAAUAAAACGAUAUAUCUACACAAGAAAAAUUCAUCGAGUGGAAUAAAAUCUUGUCAAUCCUUGGAAUUGUGAUACUUGACUGUAUCGAUACUUGCGAGUAUAUAUCGAGGCUUAACGAGAAUGCAUGACCGAGGACAACCAAGGAUCGAGGGAAUGUCUCUAUCGAUAAUGUCUUGAUCGAGA
This 6092-nucleotide long non-coding RNA is filed under the name Apis florea (little honeybee). RNAcentral's name for it is "uncharacterized LOC105736695, transcript variant X2". The record is from RNAcentral. Lineage: Eukaryota; Metazoa; Arthropoda; Insecta; Hymenoptera; Apidae.